RNAcentral lists this ribosomal RNA (490 nucleotides) under uncultured bacterium. RNAcentral's name for it is "partial 16S ribosomal RNA". It matches the Rfam family "Bacterial small subunit ribosomal RNA", at positions 30 to 507 of the family's 1533-position model. The record is from RNAcentral.
AUUGAACGCUGGCGGCAGGCCUAACACAUGCAAGUCGAACGGUAACAGGAAGAAGCUUGCUUCUUUGCUGACGAGUGGCGGACGGGUGAGUAAUGUCUGGGAAACUGCCUGAUGGAGGGGGAUAACUACUGGAAACGGUAGCUAAUACCGCAUAACGUCGCAAGACCAAAAAGGGGGACCUUCGGGCCUCUUGCCAUCGGAUGUGCCCAGAUGGGAUUAGCUAGUAGGUGGGGUAACGGCUCACCUAGGCGACGAUCGCUAGCUGGUCUGAGAGGAUGACCAGCCACACUGGAACUGAGACACGGUCCAGACUCCUACGGGAGGCAGCAGUGGGGAAUAUUGCACAAUGGGCGCAAGCCUGAUGCAGCCAUGCCGCGUGUAUGAAGAAGGCCUUCGGGUUGUAAAGUACUUUCAGCGGGGAGGAAGGGAGUAAAGUUAAUACCUUUGCUCAUUGACGUUACCCGCAGAAGAAGCACCGGCUAACUCCGUG